ACAAAAAUAAAUGUCCCAUGAUUGUAGUGUUGUCACUGGUACGGGUUUAUUACUAGCUGCUAGUAACUGCCAGUGUUUUUUGUUUUUUGAAAUCUGAUUCCAGAAGAAGAAUAUUACUACAUUCACAUUCCGCAUUCUGUCCAAGAUGCUAACUUCAGAUACCCUUUGCCUUAUAAAUUGAAUGUUGUAAAAUAGACGUAAAAUGCUUUUAAUAGUCAUGUCAAGGAAAUUGAAUGCCUUGCUGGCUCAGUUCAAGUAGUAUUUGCCCUUUUGUUUCUAGGAACUUAAUUUUCCUUUUGAGCCUUCAUUUGGUAGUGUCCAUUUUUUUCCCUUAAAUACUUGCUUGUAGCUCUCUGCAAGUAUAUGCUCUUAAGGAGAGAAUUUGGGUAACACAAGACUGGGAAAGGUUAUGUUGUAGUUUGCUGUAAUCACUGGCAACCAUGCAGUGACACCCAGGUGAUGAUUGACUCUCCGAUGGUUUUAUUGUUACAAAUGUGCGCUUUUGUCCUCGACAGGGGCUCCUCAUGAUUAAGGUGAGGAGGUUUGGCCAGAUGAGUAAAAACUAAGGGAAGAAUGGGGAGGAAAAGAUUGCUUGACCAUUUAAAAAUGUCUAGCACUGUGUCUUCUGUUAGCAGCCAACGUUGUUAUCUGUUACCUUUUGAUAGGUAAACCUGAACAAAUGCAAACAUGAACACAGCUCUGCGGAUCAUCUCGGGUUCCCUUUGGAAACCCCAAAUAAAUGGCCACAAGGGAUUGUGUGUUUUCCUGAGAACAGCUCGGCAUUGGAGUUCUUCCUUUCUGUGUGAUGGAUAGUGGCUCUGCUACUCUCAAAAUGAUACCUAUGCCUGCUGGUGCAAAAUGUCGUAUGGUCCACUUCAGUGGAAGUCAAAAUUUAUCCAUGCUGCUGUUCUGUGUUGCUAGGUUACUAUUAAAAUCUUAAAAUGCAGAUGAAGACUGGCUUGUGCAGAAUCCUUCUGCUGUCUUAUGCAUACAAAAGGGAAUCCUAAACCAAGUUUUGGUACAAGCCCGAGUCAUACCCAUUCUCCAUUGUAUUUUGGUUUUAAUGAAUAUUGCUGGUGGCUAUGCACCCUCAGAACUGAAGGUGGCUUUCUGCUAUCAUGUGCAAGAUGCUGCUCUUCAUGUUGGAAUGACAAGGACCAUCAGGGACAGGUCUGCCCCGCAAGACCCGAGGCAAUCGGGCUGUUUCAAGUGAUGGGAAGGGGACCCGCAUGGAGGUGGUGUGUCCCACACCAGCACUCUGGAUUCGAAAAGACACAUCAGAAGAAUCUGAAUACACUGUCUGCUUCCGAGGUUCAAGAUGCCUUCUCCGGCAGUGAACAUGAAUCGAGGGCCUGACAGGAACCUCACAGAGUUCAAAAAAGGCAAAUGCAAUGUCCUACACUGGGUACUGAAUUAAUGUGAUGCAGUUGUGCAGCCUGGGCACAGACUGGUUGUGAAGCACCUUUCCAGAAGCUGAUCUGGGAGUCCUGAGGAACAAGUGAAGAUGAAGGUGUCCAACCACAUUCUGGGCUCCAUUAGAAGAGCACAGCUGAGCAGGGACGAGGAAAGCAAUCUUUCUUCUCUCACAGAAGCACUGAGCACUGCGGCUGGAGUGCUGUGACCAGUUAGGGGCUCCUGAAGACAAGAUGGGAACAAGUCCAGUGGAGGCCAGCAUGGUGAUCAGGAGGUUAGAGCACAGGAGCCAUGGAGAUAGGCAGUGGGGCUUGUUCAGUCUGGAAAACAGGAGGUUAAGGGGUAGGAAAUCCUACUUCAGCUGUGUUAACAGAAGGGGCUGGAAGCUCAUCUUAGUGGUGCACAGUAGUGAGGUAGUGUUGUGUAAUUUUCAGUGUAUGUAAGUGCUGCAUCAUACCACUAAUAAAAAUACUGCAAGUCAGUACUGUCUUGCUGUACUUAAUUGGUCUCCCCACACUGUGGAACCAUUGGGAGUUCCUGGUAACCCUUUUGUUUCAGGAAGGGUGGGUACAGGGAACCUACUCUGGGGCAUUGUUUGGGAUGAUGUUCACUGGUGGGUUUAGGGGUCUUGAUCCUGCCAUUUACAGAAAUAACUGUUCCAAUAUUAAGACAGUAGAGCUGACAGAUCCAGGAAAGUAAAGGAAAUUUCAAAUACUUGCACAGCUCCUGUGCAAACUUUUCCAGACAGGGUAUCUCAACCAGCUUGGUAAAGCCUUUUUCAAAAAAAUAAUAAAUACACAUAUAAGCAUAGCCUUUGCAGGCUGGGGCUCUGGCUGUUACUGUUUGGGGCAGGGAUAGCAGCUUUUCCCCCAUCAUAUGGAUGACUGUGUUCAGUGUAAGAUGUGCAACUGCUGUAACAAGCCUUUUUCUUCCCCAAAUUCAUAUUCUUUCCACUUGGCUCUGGAGUCUGCUCCAAGUAACAGCUCCAGGGAACAAUAUUUCUUGUCAGAAAGUGGGGUUUUGUGAUACAGAUCAAGAUGUCGCCACAUAGAUAAUACUGUCCUCCAGCUCCAGUUGAAAACACUUUUGCUGCUGGCAUGUGCCCAAACAGUUGGGAUGAAUCCACUUCUGGAGUAGGCAGUGGUCUCCCUGGGUAUGGUGAUGGUGUCUUCAGUUCCCAUACACAUGGUUUUGGUUAUCUUCAAAGCAGAGCUAUGCGUGGCAUGCACAUGACAGCAGCUAGGCAAUGUUAAGGUCUGACCCCUCUACUAUAAAUCAGUCUGUGCCAACAGUAACUAACCACAGGAGUUCCCUACAAUUCGGAUCAUAUAGGAAGUAUUACAGAAAUUCUCGAAAAAAAUUCAGUUGUAGCUAUCCUGCAUGACAGUUGAGACUCUGCUGUGGAGAAACAGUUGACUUGAAAUGAAAAAGAACUAUCUUCUGCCUCUUCCCUUCCUCCUGAUACUUGAGAUGUUUGAGAUUCUAUUUUUUUAGGAGACCUUCUUUUAACCUUAAGUUUUACUGCUGCCUCAGUCCUGCUCAAACUUGUAUUCUGUGCUGCCUUUUAUCUGCUUUUAGUAUUUUUUUCCUUACUCUGCUCUUUGCCUUUCAUUCAAACAUUUAAAGACAGCUUCAGAAUCUGAAAAGUAUCUUCCCCAUUUAUGUGGGACACAAAAAAGCUGAGGAAUUAAGCACUGCUAUAGGAAUGCAUCAUGCAGGGUCAUCUCAGCUCCCACACUACUGGACUGCUGCUGCUCUGAAAGACUGACCUAAAGGAAAAAGAUUUUACACUGGCUGUUUUCCAGUACUGUAUGUGAAGGCAAAGGGUGAGAACAGAACUGUAGCAGGUACAGACAGGGAGAACUUUUUAAGGACAGCCCUCACUACUUUGAGGAAUCCUAGCUGCCUAAGAUGGCACCUGCACUCUGUUUCAAUAUACAGAAGAGACAGCACAAACAGCUUUCUUCCAUCCAGACUGAUCAAAAUACAUCUUGUUUUUG
Molecule: long non-coding RNA, 3413 nt
Filed under: Buteo japonicus
Lineage: Eukaryota; Metazoa; Chordata; Aves; Accipitriformes; Accipitridae
Description: lncRNA (ENSBJAG00000006580.1)
Source: RNAcentral